RNAcentral lists this unclassified non-coding RNA (480 nucleotides) under Hevea brasiliensis (rubber tree). Lineage: Eukaryota; Viridiplantae; Streptophyta; Magnoliopsida; Malpighiales; Euphorbiaceae. The record is from RNAcentral.
UUCAAAGAUGCACUUGUCUUUUCAUCUAGCCCAUGAAUAAAGCUCUCUGUGGGGCUCAUAACUCUGCCAAAUGGCAUUGGAAAUUCAAUGUCGCCCCACUUCUUGAAGUUCUUGAAAGCAGCAGUGUCAUCCAGCUCGCCUCUCAUAUCCAAGGGAUAAGGUUUUCCAUUUACCAAAGUGAAAGGAUUCAUCUCAAGGAAAGUAAAGUCAAGAUCUUGAAAUAAAGCAAAAACUGAUUUAAUAAACUCCUCAAUUUCUUGUUUUAUCUCCAAUGGAAGGGUUGCAACAAGUGGAGCGCAUGUUUCUGAUGUAAAUGAUGACCCUGUUGGAACAUAUAUAGUCUUAACCUUAUCCCAAUUCUCUUCAAUUUCAAUUCCUCCACAAUCUGAAAAGCUUAUGCUGCACCCAAGUCGCUCCGAGACAAUAUUAAGGUAAAACUCCUCAUUGUGGGGGAUGAAAGGUUCAACAAUGAAUGUUGUU